This 2324-nucleotide non-coding RNA is filed under the name Phrynobatrachus bullans (bubbling puddle frog). Its description in RNAcentral is "partial contains 12S ribosomal RNA, tRNA-Val, and 16S ribosomal RNA". The stretch from base 1 to 899 matches the Rfam family "Bacterial small subunit ribosomal RNA". Lineage: Eukaryota; Metazoa; Chordata; Amphibia; Anura; Phrynobatrachidae. The record is from RNAcentral.
GAUCCUGGUCUUAUUAUCAGCCGUCUUUUAACUUACACAUGCAAGUAUCCGCACAACCGUGAGAACGCCCUUUAACCUCUUCCCAGGCUAAGGAGCCGGCAUCAGGCACAGAAUUCUAGCCCAUAACGCCUAGUCCACACCACGCCCCCAAGGGCAACCCAGCAGUGAUAAAUAUUGCCUCAUAAGCGCUAGCUUGAAUCAGUUAAAAAGAGUAGGGCCGGCCAAUACGGUGCCAGCCGCCGCGGCUACACCGAUAGGCUCAAGCUGAUAAUCUUCGGCGUUAAGCGUGGUUAAAAAAUAAUCAUAGAGUAGAACAUACAUUUAGUCGUAAUAAGCUUGCUGUCUGGAGCACCAAACAAACUCUAAUAACCUUUUGAACCCACGACAACUAGAUAAACAAACUGGGAUUAGAUACCCCACUAUGCCUAGUCGUAAACAUAUUAACACGCCAGGGGACUACGAGCCUAGCUUAAAACCCAAAGGAUUUGACGGUGUCCCACCCACCUAGAGGAGCCUGUCCCAUAAUCGAUAACCCCCGCUUUACCUUACCACUUCUUACCCAGCCUAUAUACCGCCGUCGCAAGCCCACCAUGUAAAUGCAAGUAGGCUGAAUGAGAUUUUCCUCCAUACGUCAGGUCAAGGUGCAGCUCAUGAAGUGGAGCGAGAUGGGCUACAAUUUCUAUAAUAGAAUAAACGGACAAUUUAAUGAAACCAACUAUUGAAGGUGGAUUUAGUAGUAAAAAGAGACAGAAUACUCUUUUUAAUUUGGCACUGGGACAUGUACACACCGCCCGUCACCCUCUUCAAUAAAUAAGUAAGUCCUAUGACCUAACACUGUAAGAAGAGGUAAGUCGUAACAUGGUAAGCGUACUGGAAAGUGCGCUUGGUUCAACAAAGCAUAGCUUAACUUAAAGCAACUCGCUUACACCGAGAAGAUGUCUAGUAGUAUAGACUGAUUUGAGCCUAAAAUUUAGCCCAACACUCUUAAACUUUCUCCGCUUCCUACAAAAACAUUUUCCCUAUCUAGUAGAGGCGAUCAAAAAACUUUUUGGAGCAAAAGACCUAGUACCGCAAGGGAAUAAUGAAAUAGAAGUGAAAUAACCCCCAAGCCCUAAAAAGCAGAGAUUUUCCCCUCGUACCUUUUGCAUCAUGGUUUGACUAGUAAAAUGGAGCAAAACAUAUUUUUAGUUCAACACCCCGAAACUUAGCGAGCUACUUCGAAAUAGCUUUUUAGAGCCAACCCGUCUCUGUCGCAAAAGAGUGGGAAGAUUUCCAAGUAGAGGCGAUAAACCUACCGAGCCUAGAGAUAGCUGGUUAUUCAGGAAAAGAAUUUUAGUUCUGCUUUAAGACUCCACUGUUACCCCAAACAUCCCACCCAGCUUAAAAGUUAUUCAAAUAAGGCACAGCUUAUUUGAAAUAGGACACAACCUAAAACUUAGGGUAAAACCCCAGCAGCAUAAAAAAGUAGGCCUAAAAGCAGCCACCUUUUUAAAAGCGUCAAAGCUUAUUUACGCAUGCAUAACAAAUUCUCAUAAUUAAUUUAAACCCUAUACCUGUACUGAAUGAUUUUAUAAUUAUAUAAAAUACCCUCUGUUAAAACUAGUAAUAAGAAUUUGAAUUUCUCCUAAAUACAAGCCUAAGCCAGCAUUGACCUCCUGCUGGUACUUAACGCCAAUGACCUCACCGUAGUAACCCCCUUUACAAACCCUACAAAACCCUGCGUCACCCUUACACUAGAGUAUUAUAGGAAAGAUUAAAAGAAAAUGAAGGAACUCGGCAAAUACCAGCCCCGCCUGUUUACCAAAAACAUCGCCUCCUGCUUACUCAUAGGAGGCCCAGCCUGCCCAGUGACAACGUUUAACGGCCUCGGUACCCUAACCGCGCGAAGGUAGCAUAAUCACUUGUUCUUUAAAUAAGGACCUGUAUCAAUGGCAUCACGAGGGCUGAACUGUCUUCCUUUUCUAAUCAAUGAACCUGACCUCUUCGUGAAGAGGCGAAGAUCAAACUAUAAGACGAGAAGACCCCAUGGAGCUUUAAACCAACUAACACCCUCUUUUUAUUUAAUCAUAAAAAACAAGAAACCUGUUAGCUAGUUUUUGGCUGGGGCAUCCAAGGAGUAUAACUAAACCUCCCUGAUUAAACAUUUUAGAGCUACUACUCUAAAUGACAGCAAACUGAAGUAGUAUGACCCGAUUAUCGAUCAACGAACCAAGUUACCCUGGGGAUAACAGCGCAAUCCAUUUCAAGAGUCCAUAUCGACAAAUGGGUUUACGACCUCGAUGUUGGAUCAGGGUACCCCAGUGGUGCAGCCGCUACUAAAGGUU